RNAcentral lists this ribosomal RNA (417 nucleotides) under uncultured bacterium. RNAcentral describes it as "bacterial SSU rRNA". It matches the Rfam family "Bacterial small subunit ribosomal RNA", at positions 355 to 787 of the family's 1533-position model. The record is from RNAcentral.
UGGGGAAUAUUGGGCAAUGGGCGAAAGCCUGACCCAGCAACGCCGCGUGAAGGAAGAAGGCCCUCGGGUUGUAAACUUCUUUUAUGAGGGACGAAGAAGUGACGGUACCUUAUGAAUAAGCCACGGCUAACUACGUGCCAGCAGCCGCGGUAAUACGUAGGUGGCAAGCGUUAUCCGGAUUUACUGGGUGUAAAGGGCGUGUAGGCGGGAGAGCAAGUCAGGCGUGAAAUUCCAGGGCUCAACCCUGGAACUGCGUUUGAAACUGUUCUUCUUGAGUGAUGGAGAGGCAGGCGGAAUUCCGUGUGUAGCGGUGAAAUGCGUAGAUAUACGGAGGAACACCAGUGGCGAAGGCGGCCUGCUGGUCAUUAACUGACGCUGAGGCGCGAAAGCGUGGGGAGCAAACAGGAUUAGAUACCC